GAUGAAGAACGCAGCGAAAUGCGAUAAGUAAUGUGAAUUGCAGAAUUCAGUGAAUCAUCGAAUCUUUGAACGCACUUUGCGCCCUUUGGCCAUUCCGAAGGGCAUGCCUGUUUGAGUAUCAUGAACACCUCAACUCCUCAUGGUCUUCUAUGAUGAGCUUGGACUUUGGGGGCUUGCUGGCCCAUUUGGUCAGCUCCUCUCAAAUGAAUCAGCCUACCAGUGUUUGGUGGCACCACAGGUGUGAUAACAAUCUACGCUUGAGGUUUUCCACCAGGAAACCUUCAGUAAUUGGGGUUCACUGGGGCUCACAAAUGUCUUUCUUCAGUGAGGACAGCUCUUUGAAUGUUUGAUCUCAAAUCAGGUAGGACUACCCGCUGAACUUAAGCAUAUCAAUAAGCGGAGGA
This 404-nucleotide unclassified non-coding RNA is filed under the name soil metagenome. Its description in RNAcentral is "partial contains 5.8S ribosomal RNA, internal transcribed spacer 2, and large subunit ribosomal RNA". The stretch from base 1 to 121 matches the Rfam family "5.8S ribosomal RNA", at positions 35 to 154 of the family's 154-position model. The record is from RNAcentral.